CUCCCAGCACACCUCACGGGCCCACGUCCGCCAGGACUACAAUUCCCGGCGUCCUCCGGAAGCUCAAGUGUACCCAGGCGCGGUGCCUGCUGGGAAUUGUAGUUGACGUUGGUCAGCACGGAGGCCACAGGAUCCCAGCCCGGCCUUUGUGGGACUGAGGUGGCGCUGAGUGGGAGAGCAGCAGGCGAUGCGCGAAAGGCGGGACUUGGAGGUUCUGGAUGUUCCUAUGGAUAACCUCAAGGAGCACAGGACCUGGGACAUGACUGCCCCCAGCAUUCCUUCUGGUGGCAGACAGAGUUUGUCAGUUCGCCAGCAUCCUGCUUUCAUGAGAACAGUUUGCUGUUUGCUCACAGAGCCUCCAGUGGUAUACUGAGUUGGUCACGACCCUCAUUCCUUUGGCCUCCAACAUCUCCCCUUUUGUUUUUGCAUUAAUUGAAUAAAGGUAAUUUCAGGCUGUGCAGCUUUCAA
Long non-coding RNA from Gorilla gorilla gorilla (western lowland gorilla), 468 nucleotides. RefSeq lists it as uncharacterized. NCBI's taxonomy places the organism in Eukaryota, Metazoa, Chordata, Mammalia, Primates, Hominidae. The record is from RefSeq and is a predicted model, not a curated record. The transcript has 2 exons.